Molecule: ribosomal RNA, 850 nt
Filed under: Candidatus Zambryskibacteria bacterium RIFCSPHIGHO2_12_FULL_39_21
Lineage: Bacteria; Candidatus Zambryskiibacteriota
Description: partial 23S ribosomal RNA
Rfam family: Bacterial large subunit ribosomal RNA
Source: RNAcentral
GAGCAGAUGCGAAAGCAGAGCUAAGUGAACCGAUCGUACGCGUUAGACGCGGCGAAGGAUUAUCGGACAAAAGCUACUCCGGGGAUAACAGGCUAGUACCGCCUAAGCGUCCAGAGCGACGGCGGUGUUCGGCACCUCGAUGUCGGCUCAACACAUCCCGGGGGUGGAGAAGCUCCCAAGGGUAUGGCUGUUCGCCAUUUAAAGUGUUACGCGAGCUGGGUUCAGACCGUAGAUAAGUUAGAAAGUAAAAAGUUACCAAGUUAAAAAGUUCGAAACUUUCAAACUUGCGCUUUUCAAACUUUUGACUCAUUUACAAUCUGAAUCCUCAGAGGAAUUGUUAUAAGUUUUUUCGUUUUAUAAGAAGUUAAGAAAGAUAGAAAGAUUAAAUCAAAUCACGGCGGUCGUGCAUAGUGAUAUGUACGAAUUAAGUGUGGCUAUAUCGGUAGAACCCUUCUAGGGCAAUGCCGAGGACUCAUAAACGGGUCCGUAGAGACUACAGCCAUGCCAUCCUAAGUUAAUCAAAGGAUGAUCGCAUAGUCCAACUCCUUAAGUAAUUAANNNNNNNNNNNNNNNNNNNNNNNNGUCUCCUAUCUACUGCAGGCGUUGAUUCUUGAGGGGAUUUGACUCUAGUACGAGAGGACCGAGUUGAACUGACCUCUGGUGUGCCUGCUGUUCUGCCAAGAGCAUCGCAGGGUAGCUAAGUCGGGAAAGGAUAACCUCUGAAAGCAUAUAAGAGGGAAGCCAGCCCCAAGAUUAGGAAUCGUUAAGGAUCGUGAGAGAUGAUCACGUUGAUAGGCGCUAGGUGUAAGCACUGUAAAGUGUUGAGCCGAGGCGUACUAAUUUUCCGAUU